Molecule: long non-coding RNA, 285 nt
Organism: Centruroides sculpturatus (bark scorpion)
Lineage: Eukaryota; Metazoa; Arthropoda; Arachnida; Scorpiones; Buthidae
Exons: 3
Source: RefSeq, a predicted model, not a curated record
UUCAUACAAAGUAAGAGAAUGUAUUUUAUCUUGAUUUUUCUUUAAAUGAUUUUUUCAUUAUUAAAUCUUAAAUAUGAUUGUAAAUGAAGAGCGUACUUUUCGAACUGUAUCAAAAGAAACAGUUCGAAUCACGAAGAAUAAAUCACACUUAUAGCGCUAUCAGAAUAAUGACAGAGAAACGAAAGCAAAGUUCAAGUUUAACAUAUAAAGCAGUUUCCGAGAGACCGAAUCGAUGGGUAAUAUAUCUGAAACAAAAUUUGGGUUUAAGAAAAUUGACAAGAUCGA